Molecule: long non-coding RNA, 201 nt
Filed under: Cricetulus griseus (Chinese hamster)
Lineage: Eukaryota; Metazoa; Chordata; Mammalia; Rodentia; Cricetidae
Description: lncRNA (ENSCGRG00000025207.1)
Source: RNAcentral
CUAGGAAAUGGAAGCAGGAGAGAUCCUAACUGAAAACCAAAAACAAGCAAACAGCAACUUGUGCUAUGAUUGUGGGGAAGUUGAGCUGAACCUGGGCAUCCUUGCAUCACAAAGAAUUAAAUAAAGAUAAUAUAUGUGGAUACCUUAUGAUGAGAAGCUCAGGAAGCAUUCUCUUUCCCCACCAAGCUGGUGUUGCUCAAC